ACAUACGACCAUAGGACCAUGAAAACAGAGCUUCCCGUCCGCUCAGCUGUACUUAAGCAUGGUACCGGCGGAUUAGUAGUUAGGUGGGUGACCACUAGCGAAUACCUGCUGUUGUAUGUCU
This 121-nucleotide ribosomal RNA is filed under the name Periconia digitata. The record is from RNAcentral. Lineage: Eukaryota; Fungi; Ascomycota; Dothideomycetes; Pleosporales; Periconiaceae.